This is a non-coding RNA of Rhodocollybia butyracea, 92 nucleotides long. NCBI's taxonomy places the organism in Eukaryota, Fungi, Basidiomycota, Agaricomycetes, Agaricales, Omphalotaceae. The record is from the annotation of a GenBank genome assembly.
GGUCUAAUAGUGUAGAGGUUAUCACACGGGAUUUUGAUCUAUCAACCCCAAGCCGUCUUCCCGUAACCCAGGUUCGAGUCCUGGUUAGACCU